This 286-nucleotide ribosomal RNA is filed under the name Enterobacter sp. July_NA4D4. Its description in RNAcentral is "partial 16S ribosomal RNA". It matches the Rfam family "Bacterial small subunit ribosomal RNA", at positions 1086 to 1372 of the family's 1533-position model. Lineage: Bacteria; Pseudomonadati; Pseudomonadota; Gammaproteobacteria; Enterobacterales; Enterobacteriaceae. The record is from RNAcentral.
CCCGCAACGAGCGCAACCCUUAUCCUUUGUUGCCAGCGGUUAGGCCGGGAACUCAAAGGAGACUGCCAGUGAUAAACUGGAGGAAGGUGGGGAUGACGUCGAGUCAUCAUGGCCCUUACGAGUAGGGCUACACACGUGCUACAAUGGCGCAUACAAAGAGAAGCGACCUCGCGAGAGCAAGCGGACCUCAUAAAGUGCGUCGUAGUCCGGAUUGGAGUCUGCAACUCGACUCCAUGAAGUCGGAAUCGCUAGUAAUCGUAGAUCAGAAUGGUACGGUGAAUACGUU